Molecule: long non-coding RNA, 562 nt
Filed under: Nicotiana benthamiana
Lineage: Eukaryota; Viridiplantae; Streptophyta; Magnoliopsida; Solanales; Solanaceae
Description: long non-coding RNA (NBEN_LNC017272)
Source: RNAcentral
ACCAUUGUAUUUCCUUUUUUCAUUUGGAUCCUAUCAACUUGGAGAGUGUCUAGAUUAAGACACUUCUCGUAUUCGGACUAUCAAGAUCGACUAAAUGAGAGUGUGGCUGACAUGGUAAAAGAACAAAUCAGCCACACUUUUCUGGACCCCUUUUUUUGGGGAAAGGAUAGUGGGUAGGGCUUAUCUUUCCCCCAGACUACUUUACUCACUGGAAAUCAUUCCACGUACAGGAACUGGGAAAAAAAAAGGGCUCGAACUACAGGGAUCUGAUACCUUCUUCCCUUGGUAUGAGAAGUUGUUUAUGUAGGCUGACAACCUUUCCUAGGUUGUUUCGAUCAGGCCAAAUAAUCGAUUAGUAGUAUGCCUGAGAUUGCCAGAAGAACUUCCCCCUCUUGAAAACUGACUAAUCAAACAAAGGGGGUAACUUUUUUUUAUGAGGGUAGGGAGUUUGGGUUGGUGUUCAGUGUACCGCACUUUGGGUACAAGAUCGGAAAUUCCAUUCUCUUUUUUACCAUCUAAAAUCGAAGAAAAGAAAGAAGGGCGAGAUAAACAAAUAAAGAGC